CUUGACUCUAGUCCGACUUUGUGA
This 24-nucleotide non-coding RNA is filed under the name Arabidopsis thaliana (thale cress). Lineage: Eukaryota; Viridiplantae; Streptophyta; Magnoliopsida; Brassicales; Brassicaceae. The record is from RNAcentral.